Molecule: ribosomal RNA, 475 nt
Filed under: Latilactobacillus sakei
Lineage: Bacteria; Bacillati; Bacillota; Bacilli; Lactobacillales; Lactobacillaceae
Description: bacterial SSU rRNA
Rfam family: Bacterial small subunit ribosomal RNA
Source: RNAcentral
AGUGGCGGACGGGUGAGUAACACGUGGGUAACCUGCCCUAAAGUGGGGGAUAACAUUUGGAAACAGAUGCUAAUACCGCAUAAAACCUAACACCGCAUGGUGUAGGGUUGAAAGAUGGUUUCGGCUAUCACUUUAGGAUGGACCCGCGGUGCAUUAGUUAGUUGGUGAGGUAAAGGCUCACCAAGACCGUGAUGCAUAGCCGACCUGAGAGGGUAAUCGGCCACACUGGGACUGAGACACGGCCCAGACUCCUACGGGAGGCAGCAGUAGGGAAUCUUCCACAAUGGACGAAAGUCUGAUGGAGCAACGCCGCGUGAGUGAAGAAGGUUUUCGGAUCGUAAAACUCUGUUGUUGGAGAAGAAUGUAUCUGAUAGUAACUGAUCAGGUAGUGACGGUAUCCAACCAGAAAGCCACGGCUAACUACGUGCCAGCAGCCGCGGUAAUACGUAGGUGGCAAGCGUUGUCCGGAUUUAUU